Long non-coding RNA from Rhinichthys klamathensis goyatoka, 1301 nucleotides. RefSeq lists it as uncharacterized. The transcript is spliced from 3 exons. The record is from RefSeq and is a predicted model, not a curated record. NCBI's taxonomy places the organism in Eukaryota, Metazoa, Chordata, Actinopteri, Cypriniformes, Leuciscidae.
UCAGUAAUGCUAAGAAUUCCAUUUUUUUGCAUAUUCUUUUCCUGUUGGGCAAGCCAACUGUCAGCUUUAGGUCAGAUUCUUGUUUGAACAGCAGAGGAGCACAGAUUACGGUAAUUCUAAUCUUAAACAUUGUAUUUUAUGUCAUGCUUGUGAGGCUCAGCUCUGUUAUAAAUAACUAAAUUACUUACUGAGUUGCAGUGAGAAAGGAGAUAAAUACGGUGAGGGGGCAGGACUGUCACAUCUGUGCCAUAGAAGCUGCAAAGACUACAAAUACACAAGGAGGACGCGACUGAGCUCUGGAUUCUUCAAGACAUAAGAAGUAUAGCAGGAAAAGGCCCACAUGACUCAGAAGAUGUAUCCUCAAGAGCAGAACUGAGAGAGACUUUCUGCAUAUUUCAUGAGUCUUCAUCAUUAAAGCUACACAUCAGAUAUUCAGCCCAUCUUGGACUUCUAAAGUGCAGUAUUUACCCUCAAUUUCACAGGAUUUUUUGAUUCUAAAAAUAAUCCAUCUGUGGGUGUGUCCCAGGAUGCCCACCAUCCGCACACUGUGUCCACUUUCAUCUGGGACUCAUGCCUGGUGCCAGGGGCAUCAACCACCCAGACACUACUGUCAGCAUCGGGACACAGGGUCAGAGAGAGGGAAACCGGGAGAAUUACAGAGAGAGAGAUGAAGAGAGAAUGUGUUUAAGAGGGAGGGCAGGAGGAGGAGAGUAAAACAGGAACAAACCGGAUUCUCCAUCCUGUAGGAGACAGACAGACAGACGGGUCUGGGAGGGAGGCUGGAGGUUUGUUCUCCUCGAAAAAACAGACAGCAACUCUGAAUUUUUUCAAAAUCAGCAAGAGAUGUAGAGGUGUCAGCAGAUGCAUAAUGCAACAGGGCGUCACCUCGUAGCAGACCGUCAGUUAAGUACCACACACACACUUACACACACGUUUACAGUGUGUGUAAUGGGGCGGUCUUUUUUUCUUCACAAUCCAUCAUUUCUCUGCAGAACCCCUGCUCAGAAACUCUUUACACCAGAAUGGUGUGGCAGUGGCUUUCUCACUCACUCUUUCUUGCCUAUAGGAAAGUGAAUAUUUUAUCAUCAGAAAGGGCCAUGCACAGACCUAUUCAUAGUUUAGCCCCUAAUGAGUAAUUCAUUUGAGGCUUCUGCAAAAAAUAUGUAUGCAUAAUUAAUGGCUUACGAUCUUUUAAGUAUUCAUGAGCCACUCACUACAUGGGUGAAACACCCUCCAAGGUCCUUGUGGCUGGUCUGAGAUAAGUAUUGAGAUUUUUAUUUUAGAUGCCCAUUUCUAACUCC